UAGCUCUGAGGCUUAUCCAACUGAUGUGGUUUUGGGAGAUCCGUGAGGUAGAUGAUGCUGGAGAACUAUUUUUGGAGACAGGCAUGGCCUCUGAGCUGAGUUUGAACACGCUGCCAUUUCAUGGUAAAACGUGAACAGAUGAGGACGUGCUCCCAAUGGAUGAACGAAGAAAGUGGUUUCCUGAGAUGGAAGCUUCUCCUGGUGAAGAUGCCAUGAAGACUGUUGGAAUGACAACGAAGGAUUUAGAAUAUGACAUAAACUUAGUCCAUCGAGCAGCGGCAGGGUUUGAGAGGAUUGACUCCAAUUCUGAAAGAAGUUCGACUAUGGGUAAAAUGCUAUCAAACAGCAUCACAAGCUACAGGGAAAUUACUAGUGAAAAAAGAGUUAAUCAAUGAGGUAAACUUCAUGGCUGGAUUAUUUUAAGAGCUUGCCACAGGCACCCCCACCUCCAGCCACCACCGCCCUAAUCAGUCAGCAGCAACAUGGACGGACGCAAGUCCCUCGCCAGCAGAAAGAUUGCAACUCGCUCAGAGCUCAGAGGAUGGUUAGCAUUUUUUAGUGGUAUUUUAAAAUUAGGGUGUGUCCAUUGGUUUCUUAGACAUAUCCUAUUGCACGCUCAACAGACCACAGUAGAGUGUCCCUAUAACUUUUCUAUGCGCUGGGAAACCAAAAAAUUCCUCUGAUUCUCUUGACUGCGCUACUUGCUUCAUCGUGGGGUGGUCUGGAACAAAACCCAGGGGACAGGAGCUCAUGGCUCCCCCAGCCUAGAGAAGAGAGGUGUGCCUUAUACUUUCUCCUACAAAGAGGGGAAAGUAGAAGAGGGUGCACUGAGAAAGAUUUAAUAAUUCUGCUUAGAGUCGCCUUCUCCAGGGUAACCGGUUCAUUUGUGGAGGUUAUGCUAGCUUUGGUAGAACUUACAUACAACCCCGGAGAGCGAUGGUCAAACAUUGUCCGGAGUGGGCUUGAACCCAUAACCUGAGUACCAUUCCGGGAGGUGCUGUCUGCCUCUAAGGGCUGUAGAUGUCCUCCACCCAUGACCAUCGCUCCACAUGUGUAGGAAUGGGCCUUGGAGAAGCUUGCAAAUGGUAGCUUUGUCUCACUCUCUCCUCUACCCGAUCACGCUCCCAUGUACUCUCCCGGCCAUAGGCAGCAGGAGAACACUGGUUUUGAACACAAAGGACAUCUGUUACAUGUAAUCAUUGUAUAAAGCUGGCCUACUCCCAUUAUGAAUAAUCAUAAAAUUGGGGGUGAAAGGUACCUCCCCAUUUAAAGCUACGAAAAGGCCGUGAUUCAUUUUCGGUCUCUUUAUUACGAGGCCUCGUCUCAGAUCAUCCGCAGCAAAGUUUUACCCUGGAGCCAGUUUCCUCAGUCAUGUUAAAUUCAUGGGGGGAAAAUCCUCCUAGGAUUUAGAACUGAAAAAUAGACAGCUUUAAUAACAGAAACGCUGAUGUGAAGAGCAGGGAAAGACAGCGUGUUCUAACCUUCUAGGGAAAAAAUGGGGAAGAUGUUGAUAAAAAGCUCUGCUAUAUUUUUAUCUUACCGUUUUCUUCAUCUGAAGGAAUAUUGAGAUGAGGUUUUAAAUUCUGAACGAUUAUCUGACAGCUUCCAUCUCCAGGGCAAAUUAUUAGCAAGAGUUAUAUUUUGCUAUUACCUCUACUCAAAACUCAGAGGACACAUGCUUCUCAGCCCAGAUGAGAAAUAAAAUCUACAGACGAGAGUGCUGUGAACAGGGUGCCAGGUCCCAGUGACUUCUAAGUCCCCUUUUGUGAGCUUUGUGGACAUUGACCUUCUUAUUAAGUAGGGCUGGGGGGGGAUUGGCUGGGCCCCUAGCACCCUCCUGGAUAUGUUCUGCACCCCCCCCCGCCAGUGCCAUCUUUCACCAUUCUGCCCCAACCCAUCCCACCCCAUGCCCUGUAUUCCAGUGACACCAAACUGCCCAGCGGUCCCAAAUAGGCCAGCUUUUUGGUUUAUUUAUUUCUUUUCUUUUAAAAAAGAGAGUGUAUGUGUGGAUGCAUGGGGGGAAUAGCAGUGAGAGAGGGAGAGAGAGAAUCUUAAGCAGACUCCA
Molecule: long non-coding RNA, 2065 nt
Organism: Ailuropoda melanoleuca (giant panda)
Lineage: Eukaryota; Metazoa; Chordata; Mammalia; Carnivora; Ursidae
Exons: 3
Source: RefSeq, a predicted model, not a curated record